AGUGAACGCUGGCGGUGGGCCUAAUACAUGCAAGUCGAGCGAAAGCACGGUAAGAGCUCGCCCCUACGGGUAGCGACGGACGGACGGGUGAGGCAUACAUAGGAAACCUCUAUUACUGGGGGGAUAUCGUGGGGAAGCUGCUGCUAAUACAGGAUAUGAUCUACGGGAGAAUGCAGGAGUGAAUCGGGGUUUUGGUGAUAGAAUGAGAUGGUUCCGCAUUGGCUAGUUGGCGGGGUAAGGGCACACCAAGGCAACGAUCCGUAGCCGAUCUGAGAGGAUGAUCGGCCACACUGGAACUGAGACACGGUCCAGACUCCUACGGGAGGCAGCAGUAGGGAAUCUUGGGCAAUGGGCGCAAGCCUGACCCAGCCACACUGCGUGAGUGAUGAAGGCCUUCGGAUCGUAAAGCUCUUUUGUUGGGGAAGAAAAGCAGCAUGUUUAUACGCCGAUAUUCUGACGGUACCCAAAGAAUAAGCACCGGCUAACUUCGUG
RNAcentral lists this ribosomal RNA (492 nucleotides) under uncultured bacterium. RNAcentral's name for it is "partial 16S ribosomal RNA". It matches the Rfam family "Bacterial small subunit ribosomal RNA", at positions 29 to 507 of the family's 1533-position model. The record is from RNAcentral.